This 403-nucleotide ribosomal RNA is filed under the name uncultured bacterium. RNAcentral's name for it is "bacterial SSU rRNA". It matches the Rfam family "Bacterial small subunit ribosomal RNA", at positions 355 to 775 of the family's 1533-position model. The record is from RNAcentral.
UGGGGAAUAUUGGACAAUGGGCGAAAGCCUGAUCCAGCAAUGCCGCGUGGAUGAAGAAGGUUUUCGGAUUGUAAAGUCCUUUCGGCGGGGACGAUGAUGACGGUACCCGCAGAAGAAGCCCCGGCUAACUUCGUGCCAGCAGCCGCGGUAAUACGAAGGGGGCUAGCGUUGCUCGGAAUGACUGGGCGUAAAGGGCGCGUAGGCGGUAUGGACAGUCAGGUGUGAAAUUCCCGGGCUUAACCUGGGGACUGCAUUUGAUACGUUCAAACUAGAGUGUGGAAGAGGGUCGUGGAAUUCCCAGUGUAGAGGUGAAAUUCGUAGAUAUUGGGAAGAACACCGGUGGCGAAGGCGGCGACCUGGUCCAUUACUGACGCUGAGGCGCGAAAGCGUGGGGAGCAAACAG